This 497-nucleotide ribosomal RNA is filed under the name uncultured bacterium. RNAcentral's name for it is "partial 16S ribosomal RNA". It matches the Rfam family "Bacterial small subunit ribosomal RNA", at positions 28 to 507 of the family's 1533-position model. The record is from RNAcentral.
GAUGAACGCUGGCGGCGUGCCUAAUACAUGCAAGUCGAGCGGACGGACGAGAAGCUUGCUUCUCUGAUGUUAGCGGCGGACGGGUGAGUCACACGUGGAUACCCUCCCUAUCAGACUGGGAUAACUUCGGGAAACCGGAGCUAAUACCGGAUAAUCUUUUGAACCGCAUGGUUCAAUAGUGAAAGACGGUCUUGCUGUCACUUAUAGAUGGAUACGCGCUGCAUUAGCUAGUUGGUAAGGUAACGGCUUACCAAGGCAAGUAUGCAUAGCCGACCUGAGAGGGGGAUCGCCCACACUGGAACUGAGACACGGUCCAGACGCCUACGGGAGGCAGCAGUAGGGAAUCGUCCGCAGUGGGCGAAAGCCUUACGGAGCAACGCCGCGUGAGUGAUGAAGGUCUUCGGAUCGUAAAACUCUGUUAUUAGGGAAGAACAGAUUUGUAAGUAGCUGUGCACAGCGUGACGGUACCUAGUCAGAAAGCCCCGGCUAACUACGUG